Non-coding RNA from Hydra vulgaris (swiftwater hydra), 367 nucleotides. Lineage: Eukaryota; Metazoa; Cnidaria; Hydrozoa; Anthoathecata; Hydridae. The record is from RefSeq and is a predicted model, not a curated record.
AAAGGUAUUUGUAAAUAAUAAUUAAAGUUACUCAAUAAGACAUAACUUUUUUCUACAAUAUUUUUUUGUAAACUGAAGAUUUCGUUUCAUUAAAGAUUCUAUAUGUAGACUUAUUUAUAUUAUUUAAACAUAGUACCUAUAAAAUUCAAUGUCCAUUUACAAUUUACAUUGGUGUUACUGAAGAUGGUGAAAGGUUCUGUGUGACAAAAGUUAUUAAUAAGCACAACCAUGCAAUUGACAAAGAAAUAAUUGAAAGACUUCCAAAAGUUAGGAAACUAAACGAGGAUCAAGAGAAAGAUGUUAAACAAAUGUUAAAGAUACAUGGCAAUAAAUGGCUUAUUCAUGAGCAUGUUCAAAAUGAAACAGG